UAGGGGAGCAGUAGCACCUCCGCAGCUCUGCCGAGCAAAACAAGCCACGGGCAGGUGCAUAGAAAAAUAGUCUGUAAGGUACCCGGUAUUAACUGUGUAAAACAGCUGUUCUUUUACCAUGUGUAUAAAUGAUUUCUUAAGCUUUUUAAAGCGGUUCUUCUGUUCCAUAUCUUUAUUAGGAAGCAAGAUUUCAAACUGAAUUAACUUCUUUCUUGUCAAGCAAAAUGGGGGCUCUGGGACAAAGCCAGUGACUCUGCUGCGAUGGCUCUCGUGUGGUGAGGAGGAGUGUGGCAAGAUGGGCUCUGUGUUUCUAGGAGAAUAUGUCUGAGUUUAAGUUUGUAAGUUACACAAACAAGACCAAAGUUGCCUGAGCUUUGCUGACAGACCAGAAAGUCAGAGGUUUGGCAUCCUGAUUAAACAUCAUUUGUUUAAGGUUUUUUUUUUUUUUUUUUAUCCUUGUAUGCAGCGAAGGGAGUAUAUACCUGUACUGCUAGUGUACUUAUGUGUAUUUAUGCACAUACACAUUUUGAAGUGCAUUAUCUAGCAAAAGCUGCCUUGAAAAUGUUUGUAGAAACUAUUGGUGAACUCCAGAGAUUCAUGCCUCCGUCUUUGGUUGUAUUCGUUUGCUUCUCAUGGUAGGGUUUUCUAAGUGUAAAACCUAAAGUGUCAAGGAUUAGGUAUCCGAUGAUUUAUUUCUUUUUUAAGAGGGGUUGAAAAAGCAGAAUUUUCAACUUCAAGUUUACUUCUCUAAAUUUUCUUUUCUAGUUGGAGUCUGUGUUAGUAUUAAAAAAAACUGUCGAAAGAAUUAGAGGCUGCAGGCUAGUGCUUCACUUGCUCUGCGGCUAAGGUAGAGGUAUGGUUCUGUCACUCUAAGUCCCAUUUAUAUUUUGUGCAGGGAUUCAGAAUUUGGAUCUUUUAAGUUCCUUUUUAAAGGGGAAAAAUGCCAAAUUGUAUCCAGAUUGUGGUUAUGCAGAUAGAAUUGGCAGGCCUUUCCAUCAAGUAAGUGAUUUUAUACAUACGCAUAUUACAAAGUCUUAGUUUAUGUGUGUGUGUAUAUAUAUAUAUAUAUAUAAACUUUAAUGGAAUAUUUAUACAAACAUUGCGUAUUAACAGAAAACUCUGAGGGGAGAGAAAAUAAUAUUGAGUUCAGAUGGCUACAAAUGUGUUUUAUCUUUCUCUGUAGCCAGCGAUUCAGAAGUUGAAAUUGUGAUCUGCCAUAAACUGUGCAUUUCUGUAAUGGUAUUUACAGAACUUAUUAACCACUUGUAAUUUACUGUCUUAUGUUGCAUAUUUGUCAAUUCUAUAUUAAAUUAUAUACACACUGUUGAUAAUAUAUUGAGAAAUUAUAUAUUUUCUUUAACAAGCCUCUUUAACAAACAGUUCAAAAAUCUAAAUACCAGACUGACAGUAAGAAAACUGUACUGCUUAUUCUGUGCUGACAUUCAAAUUAUUUUUAUAAUUAGACUAUUUUUCUAGUGACAUUUUCAAAACAAUAAUGUAGAUUCACACUGAUUUUAUUUACUGUGUUUGAGUCUAUCAUUUUAUGAUGCAUCGUGUUAACAGUAGUGGUUAACUUCAUCUGGGCAUGGAAGAAUGACCAUUUGGAGAAAUCUCGCUGUGUUCCUGAAGUGCCAAACUGGGUAUAUGGGCCGUAGGAAGGUUAAAUAGCUUCAUGUCGUUGCCCAAAUAUCAUUUUUCUAUGAAUCUGUUGUCCUCAUACUAAUCAGCAUUUUUAUUUAGUUAGUUUAUUUUAUAGUUUAGUUAGGUUUUUUUAGUUUAAUUCAUUUAUUUUAGCUCCAAGAAAAGAUAACCUGUGCAGAUACAAAGAUGAUUUAAAUACGUAGUUUUUUUUCUCUGAUGUUUGCCCCUAAAUAAAGUGAGGUGUAGGUACUGAUUCGUGAUCCCGCUCUGUAACACUGGUCUGGCCGACGCUUUUCCCCUAAAUUGGAGCUUUGCAAUCUCACGUUAUUUCCGCUUAGAUCAAAAUAAAGCAGGAGGAGCUCGACUCUGUGCUUCUGAUGCAGGGUCUCUGGCAUACGGAUCCAUUUUGCUCAGUUACUCCCGUCAUGUAAAAUUUACCAGCGUUUUUCAAGCUGAAGGUUAGUGCCGCAGCUGUGAUCUUGGUUUUGUCAAAAUGCCUCCGCCGCGGGAGCUAAGAGCGUCCUGUUGGUCUGCUGCUGGGAAGCAGAGGCGGUUUAGGGGCCGCCGGGGGCCUGGCCUUGGCUGGAGAGGUUUGGAGAUGGGCUUCGGUGGGCACCAGGCCCCUCACGAGAUGGUUCAUGCACUGAGCUCGUGAUCCAUUAAAGCUGUGCCGCUGUGUAUGCCUAUUUUUAAAGGAAAACCUCAUGAUUAUUUUCCUCAGACCUAUUUACUGUUAAGUGUAUUUUUCUACUUUUUCAUGCAAUUUUGACAUCGUUACAGUGUUGGGGCAGAAUUUCUAUCAGCAUCUAUUUUGUUGGCUCUCAUGCGUUUGAGCAACAAAAGGACUCGGUUGCAUCUUUAAUCGUAGAUGUAGGUUUGAAAAGAUUGUGCCAAUUUUCUUUCAGAUGCUUUCGCACUUUUAGGUAGAGCACUUGAGAAUGACAGCUAAAAUGAUAACAUGAAAGCGACUGCUUCUCAUGACCUUUGUUGUAUAGAUCUUCAGGUAAACUAUGUAUUUUUAAAUGCAAUAUGUAGGGGCAUGUGGAAGCUCGAGCAGUUAUGUUUGUACAUCGCUCUUCUGGUAUAAAUAAUCUAAGGAAAGAAGAGGAAUUGGAAAAAAUUUAAAUGAAUAUGGACUCGUUAAUUAGUGAAAUGAAACCAUGUAAAUCCAGGGGUGUUGCAAGUUUCAGGAGUGAAGGGAUUCGUCCUUUAAGGGUGGUUCUCAGCCAGGCUCGAUGCCCAGCAUAGCUCUGCCGCAGUACUGCAACCUGGUGCUCUUCCGACAGAUGCCUCUAACCUCUGUGUUGUGUAAAGUGAAUCUGAUACUACUCCAGAAUGUGUAUUUCUACUUUUUUUCACCAUAAACUAAGAAGCCAGCUUGUCAUUUGUGUUUUUCUCUGGAUUUUCUAAUUUGACUCUGUAAUACCGUGUUAUAUUAUAUUGCCUUUGUAUCGUAAGGUCCACCUGAGCCGUGUCAGCACGAGUUGCCCUCGGCUGGCAGCAGGCUUUGUGGACUAACUGUGUUUUUACCUAACGCACUUUCUACCAGUUGGGAGCAGGCCUCUUCUUGAACCUACACGUUUCGGUUGUUGGAAACGCGUCUCGUGGCAAUGCGAGGGAAGGCUGUCUGCUUGGGGAAGGGAAUCCGCAGCAGGUGUUGUCACAGCCUCGGGUCUCUGAAACUCUUCAUUAAAGUGUUACUGCUUUUUCUAUGGCUGCGGCUUCUCGUUGUAGUUCAUUUCGCUUGGCUUUCCUCGCGCGGUGCGCGGAGUCUCCCCGACGCGACUGCCCGACUCCAUGCCGACCCUGGCAGCCAGCAGCUGCUGCUUCGCCCCCAGCACAGCGGGGCCAAAUCCUGGCAAGGACGCAAGUAAUUCUGACGAGAAUACGUGGAACAAGCAACAGUGGCGGCCGAGUCUGGCGUACUAGGGCAACCGAGGAUAAGAGACCUAUGGAGUUACAUUUGCGUGUAUUUGCACUCCGACUUGUUUAAAUUUUUUCUUUAAUGUCUGACACUUUUGCUUCUACAAUACUGCACAACAGGAAGGAUUUUUAAGUAAGUGUGAACCGAGGUAGUAGCCAGUGGAGGUGGCUAUAAUGUGAGGUGCAUUUGCUUUUGCAAGGCUUUUCAUUUAGCUGAAGCAGGUAAUUCACAAGAUCCUCCUGCCCUACGACACCAAACGAAACCCUCUGAAGUGGAUUUCAGCUACUGUCUCCUACUAGACACAUGCCGUAAAAACACAGGGCUGCAGCAGUGCAGCCGGGAGCUGCAGGCCGGGCUCAGCGCGGCAGCCCCACGGCGGAGGAGCCCCGGGAAGGCGUCGGCGAGCGCACGGACACGGCCUUGCCCGAGCCCCGAUGUAGGUCACCUGCCUCCAUGGAGACUCCCGGCUCAUCCUUCGGCGGCGAGGCUCCGGGGCGCGUGGGAGGCGGCCGUCUGUUGCCUUCAGCAAGUGCUGUGGGUGUGAUGGAGCCUGUUUUCCUUCUCUUUUGGGGCCAGGAGACAGGUUUCUGCCACAGGGGUUAUGGCGUGCGUGUGUAUACGUACAACAAAAGAGGCAGCGAGUUGGCAGCUCUCCCUGCGCUGUCCCACCCACCUGGCAUGGAGCAGGGUUUAACUCCUAGCACAGAAACCUCGUAACCCCGGUGGCUGCAAGGGAGCAGGCACCGUGUUACGCAGGAAAGUAGCACUGAGGUCCCUGCAGCAGGUUGAAGCAUGAGCUGAGCAAAGUGCAACAGCCAGGGCUGGAGUCUCUGCACCUGGAAUGGGCCAAAGGCAACCGCGUUUUGAGAAGCGUCAGGAGACCCGGAGCAAGGGAAACACCGCAGCUUUUCCUGGGAGGAACCGCGUGCCCACACUGAUUGCAAUCACUGCACCCUCCCAAGGCGGCAUUCCUUCCUCCCCUGCUUUGCUUUGAAGAGUAAGCAGGAGCAGCACAAAGAUCAAAUUCAGGAAAGGGCAGAAGGGUUUGCAGUGGCUCUAUGGUGUAAUGCGUGUCAGACAACCAGAUUAACAGCUUUUCUGAAAGGAAGACAGUGAGAAAAGUUUUGCUAGUAAAAGGAGCCAGGUUUCCCCAACUUUCAAGAGAAUUCAAGCCUCCGGUAGUGCUGGAGCCUCUAAAAUACAACUUCUUGUUCUUUGAUCUGUGCUGUAAAUGGCAGUGGUCCAGAAAAAUAAGUAACAAUUCCUGCAAAACAGCAUCAGCUACUUUUUAAUUUUAUGAUUUCGGGAGGGGCCCAGGAUAAAACCCACAUGCCACUUUAGGUCCUGUACGACAAGCUCUGAACACGCAGCACUCAUCCCUGACGAGGAACCACAGGCACCAGCUCGGCCUUUUCAAGGGCACACUAUUGAAUGCAGUAAGAAAGUAAAACCUAAUACAGCAGAAUUGAGGUUAAACAUUUUAUUUCAAAAAAAAAAAAAAUCUAAAAACACUAUCCAAUUUCAAACAAUUAUAUUAAUGUAGAUGUCUUUAAACAUCUGAGUGUUAAAACAAGUGGUGUGGUUGUAGACCAACUGCUAAGGGUAUUCUGGUUCCAAAAGCUUGUAGUAUAAAUAAAUUUUCCAUCAAUAUCAUAAAAUAAGUUAUUAUAUAUCUUAAAAUAUAAACUUGAGAAUUAACAUCCCAAAAUACAAUAAAAUUGUAUGUAAAAAUGUUUUGAUUAAC
This is a long non-coding RNA of Dromaius novaehollandiae (emu), 5309 nucleotides long. RefSeq lists it as uncharacterized. Lineage: Eukaryota; Metazoa; Chordata; Aves; Casuariiformes; Dromaiidae. The record is from RefSeq and is a predicted model, not a curated record. The transcript has 2 exons.